RNAcentral lists this ribosomal RNA (1290 nucleotides) under Triticum aestivum (bread wheat). Its description in RNAcentral is "partial small subunit ribosomal RNA". Lineage: Eukaryota; Viridiplantae; Streptophyta; Magnoliopsida; Poales; Poaceae. The record is from RNAcentral.
AUGCCGCAGAAGGUGCGCGUCGCCGCAUCCAGCAAUGGCGUGCUGCCUGAAGACAUGCUGCGUCACAUCCUCGUGCGCCUCCCGGCAAAGACGCUAUGCCUCUUCCGAGCAGUCAGCCGAUCCUGGAGGUCCCUCCUCUCAGAUCCGCUCUUCGUUGCAGCGCACAAGUCCCGCCACCCUGGGCCACUAGUUGUCACAUGUACCAGUGAAUUGUGUCAAAGAGGAGGCACCAUUGAGAUUAUGGACUUGUCUGGCCAUGUCGUUAAGCGGAUAGCCACCAGCAUGGAGAAUGCCCGGUUGGAAUGCACACGCCACCUGGACCUUAUUUGUGUCGCCAGAAAUGAGCAUCGUUCGACCCGCCAUGUGAUCAACCCUGCCACGGGGGAUACUUUUGCAUUGCCCAGUCGCUGUGCAAAGGAGCAUGCACAUGUGAAACAUUUCUUCCCACAAUCAUUUGACUUUGGACAGGUUGGCUCCACGGGAGAGUACAAGGCUAUACGCUGUGUCAGCAUUGAUGAUUCCGAGAGUGAGUCCAGCCCGAUGCUCUGUGAGGUCAUCACCCUUGAUGAUGGUCGCCAUGCAAGAUGGAGGGGCAAACAGGGCCCUCCGGCCCCUGUCGCAAGUAACCGUAACAAAAGUGUCGUUGUCAACGGAGUCGUCUAUUUCUUGUUGGAAUUUCGACGUCCCACAUUUUCUGGGGACCAUGUCGAACAUGGUAGCAUGGCUUUGUUCAAUCUUGAGACAGAGGAGUGGAUGGGGAUUGUUCAAGGUCCAAUGCCAGUGCGCAAUGGCGGUUACUUUAGUCUAUUCAUGGAGCUAUCGCUGGUAUGCUUGGAUGGGUUCUUAGUUAUGGCACACAAUCCUGAAUAUAGCUCUUUGGACUUGUGGUUUUUGAUGGAUGCUGAGGAAUCUCUCUGGAAUAAAAGGUACAGCAUAGAUGGCCAGCAUGAAAUUCUCUUUGCUCAACCCGUAGAAAUUCUAAGUGAUGGGCGGAUAGUCCUCUCUGCACCAGGACGGCUAAGGCUCUACAAUCCAAUUACCAAGACUUUCACUGAUUUUGAGAUGAGAAAUUCCACAUUUGUUGGUACUUACACUGGAAGUCUAUUGUCUUCAGAGAGCACUUUCACUUCUGAGGCUGAACGUUGCACUGUCUGUGGCUGCUAUGGCACCCUUGAAACCAUCGAACCUUAUGCACUCUGUGAAGACUGUAUGUUGCAUCAAGCCUUGCUUUUAUUGCAGCGUCUGGAAGGCUGCGCUCAACUGGACACACUUUCAGGAAUUACCAACUGA